Molecule: small nuclear RNA, 169 nt
Filed under: Zalophus californianus (California sea lion)
Lineage: Eukaryota; Metazoa; Chordata; Mammalia; Carnivora; Otariidae
Description: U4 spliceosomal RNA (ENSZCAG00015002066.1)
Rfam family: U4 spliceosomal RNA
About the family: U4 small nuclear RNA (U4 snRNA) is a component of the major U2-dependent spliceosome. The structure of U4 snRNA from yeast and human has been reported.
Source: RNAcentral
AGCUUUGCUCAGGGGCAGUAUUGUAGCCAAUGAGGUUUUAUCCGAGGCGUGAUUAUUGCCAAUUGAAAACCCCUCACAGGAUGCUCUUCCAUUGUGGCUCGGGCAUCUGGCACAGUGUUUGGAACACAGUCGUCACUUAAUAAGCAAUUGUUGAAUGCAUGAUGGUAUG